AUGAGCAGUAUUCAAAAAGUAACUUAUAUAAAGUUUAAGUGUGUUCUAAGCAAUAUCCUCAUUAUUUCAUUAUCUCAGUCUCACCGGCCGUUUCCUCAUUACCUCUCAAGGCUCACGGAUCACAAAGAUCAGAGUCUGGAUUUGUCAGAUGGUGACUAUGCUAGUGAUGCCCCGAGUGAGACUCAGUUUAAUGAAGAAUAUCACACUUCUACUUCUACGUCCAGUUCUUUAAGCUUCAGCAGCGAUUCUGAACUUAAGAGCUUAGAAGGGUCUAUGGCUAACUGCUCCAAAAAACAGAAAGGGGGACCGACAGUGACUUUAGACAACCUUCUGCUUCUGAGCUCCCCACAAUGGAGUUCCCAAAAGUCAAAGUUACUUCAGAAGACACCACUCAUGGCAUGGGACAAGAGCAACCAGAUACUCCAAUCAGAGGAGAUGGGAGAGCAUGGUUUUAUUGGUGAGGAUGGCUGCAGACCUUUGCUCAGGUUUAAGAAAGAACUGAAUGAAUCAACAAGACAUAUUAGACAAGUUUACAUCAUGUCUCAAUGUGUAAGAAUCCACUUUAUUUCUCACACUACUAAAAAUAAAGGUUCCAAAAGGGGGUUUUCACAAUGAUUCCAUAGAAGAACCAUAUUGGGUUCCUCAAAGAACCUUUCACUAAAUAGUUCUAAUGUGAACAUUUUAAGAACCUUUUUCCACUUUAAAGAACUUUUUGUGCAGUGGAAAUUUUUUAUAGAUGUUUAAUUUUCUUCAUGGAACCACUGAUGACAUUGAUUUGUUUUAUACUGUCUUAUCCUUACAAAUGUUAUGAUUAAAUCUUUGUGCAUGUACUGUAGGAUCUGAGACUGCAGAUCUCAUCUCUGAAGCAGCAGUUGAUGGAGUGGGAGUCUCACUGGUCGCAGGCCCACAGUCUCCUCCAGAGCCGUGUUGAAGCCUUCACUCGAUAAAAAACAGGAGCUUCACAGCAGGCUUAAUGUGAACAAGAGAUCACACCAGAGUGCUGGCUCCUCUGCUCCUCAGUCUGGAUCAUAUAACAAGGUCAGAGCAAAUUCAAACCACUAUUUUUCAACUAAAAAUAUCUAAACCUAUAUGGAACAUAUACACAUAUGUUGUACUUCAGUUUGAGCAGAGAAGAGAAGAACCACAGCGGACCCGUCAUGUAAGGAGCCCAGCUCCGGCCUUUAACAAACCCUUCAUCCAUAGGACACAGCAGGACAAUGUUAGUAUGCUAACAUCAUAAAUGUGCAUUGAUAACAACAAGAACAGUUUUUCAAUCUGUAGAACAUUUUUAUGGCUUUAAGCUAAAUAUAUCCUUAUUUAUUUUUAGUCAUUUUUAAUAAGACUAGAUUUAGUCACAACUACAGUAGUUGAGCUAAACUCAUUUCCUGUAAACCCGUUGAGGUGUGUAAUAUGUUCUCGAUUGCCUUUAAACUCCUCCGAAAUAAUGAUGAUCAUGAUGACUCUCAAAGCCCAGUGUCAGAUAAUUGACUCAGUUCUUUAUAACUAAUUCAUGCAUGUGUAAUGCAUCUACCCAUCUCCAUUUCAUACAGUGUACAUGUUAAAUCCUGAUUUUAUAUUGUAAUUGUUUGCCCUGUUUAUAAUUUAUAAACACAUA
This is a long non-coding RNA of Cyprinus carpio (common carp), 1615 nucleotides long. The record is from Ensembl. Lineage: Eukaryota; Metazoa; Chordata; Actinopteri; Cypriniformes; Cyprinidae.